This 251-nucleotide ribosomal RNA is filed under the name uncultured prokaryote. RNAcentral's name for it is "partial 16S rRNA". It matches the Rfam family "Bacterial small subunit ribosomal RNA", at positions 525 to 775 of the family's 1533-position model. The record is from RNAcentral.
ACAGAAGGUGCAAGCGUUAGUCGGAAUUACUGGGCGUAAAGGGUGCGUAGGCGGAGAUGUAAGUCGGACGUGAAAUCCCGGGGCUCAACCCCGGAACUGCGUACGAAACUACAUCCCUUGGGGAAUGGCGGAGAAAAUGGAAUUCCAUAUGUAGCGGUGAAAUGCGUAGAUAUAUGGAAGAACACCUGUGGCGAAAGCGGUUUUCUAGACUUCUCCCGACGCUGAGGCACGAAAGCAAGGGGAGCAAACAG